This 262-nucleotide unclassified non-coding RNA is filed under the name uncultured fungus. RNAcentral describes it as "sequence contains ITS2". The record is from RNAcentral. Lineage: Eukaryota; Fungi.
AACGCACCUUGCGCUCCUUGGUAUUCUGAGGAGCAUGUCUGUUUGAGUGUCACAUUAAUACCUCACUCGACUCUGACAACUUCAGAGUGGGGUGGACUUUGGACUCUGCCGUGAUUGGCUUGUCCUGAAAUGCAUUGGCUCCUCCAAAGGCUUGCCACCAUGGUGUGAUAGUUAUCUGCGCCAUCUCGGUGUGCCUUCUGGGGCCCUAAUAACAUAUUGGACGUUUGACCUCAAAUCAGACAGGACAACCCGCUGAACUUAA